CUACGGGGGGCAGCAGUGGGGAAUAUUGCACAAUGGGCGCAAGCCUGAUGCAGCCAUGCCGCGUGUAUGAAGAAGGCCUUCGGGUUGUAAAGUACUUUCAGCGGGGAGGAAGGGAGUAAAGUUAAUACCUUUGCUCAUUGACGUUACCCGCAGAAGAAGCACCGGCGAACUCCGUGCCAGCAGCCGCGGUAAUACGGAGGGUGCAAGCGUUAAUCGGAAUUACUGGGCGUAAAGCGCACGCAGGCGGUUUGUUAAGUCAGAUGUGAAAUCCCCGGGCUCAACCUGGGAACUGCAUCUGAUACUGGCAAGCUUGAGUCUCGUAGAGGGGGGUAGAAUUCCAGGUGUAGCGGUGAAAUGCGUAGAGAUCUGGAGGAAUAUCGGUGGCGAAUGCGGCCCCCUGGACGAAGACUGACGCUCAGGUGCGAAAGCGUGGGGAGCAAACAGGAUUAGAUACCCGUGUAGUC
Molecule: ribosomal RNA, 464 nt
Filed under: uncultured bacterium
Lineage: Bacteria
Description: partial 16S ribosomal RNA
Rfam family: Bacterial small subunit ribosomal RNA
Source: RNAcentral